This 492-nucleotide ribosomal RNA is filed under the name uncultured bacterium. RNAcentral's name for it is "partial 16S ribosomal RNA". It matches the Rfam family "Bacterial small subunit ribosomal RNA", at positions 29 to 507 of the family's 1533-position model. The record is from RNAcentral.
AGUGAACGCUGGCGGCAGGCCUAACACAUGCAAGUCGAACGGCAGCACAGUAAGAGUUUGCUCUUACGGGUGGCGAGUGGCGGACGGGUGAGGAAUACAUCGGAAUCUACUUUUUCGUGGGGGAUAACGUAGGGAAACUUACGCUAAUACCGCAUAUGACCUACGGCUGAAAGCAGUGGAUCUUCGCACCUUGCGCGAUUGAAUGAGCCGAUGUCGGAUUAGCUAGUUGGCGGGGUAAAGGCCCACCAAGGCGACGAUCCGUAGCUGAUCUGAGAGGAUGAUCAGCCACACUGGAACUGAGACACGGUCCAGACUCCUACGGGAGGCAGCAGUGGGGAAUAUUGGACAAUGGGCGCAAGCCUGAUCCAGCCAUGCCGCGUGGGUGAAGAAGGCCUUCGGGUUGUAAAGCCCUUUUGUUGGGGAAGAAAAGCAGCAGGUUAAUACCCCGCUGUUCUGACGGUACCCAAAGAAUAAGCACCGGCUAACUUCGUG